GGGUCUGUAGCUCAGCUGGAAAGAGCACUGGCCUCCGGAGCCAGGAGUCGGGGGUUCAAAUCCCCCCAGACCCG
Molecule: transfer RNA, 74 nt
Organism: Thermodesulfobacterium commune DSM 2178
Lineage: Bacteria; Pseudomonadati; Thermodesulfobacteriota; Thermodesulfobacteria; Thermodesulfobacteriales; Thermodesulfobacteriaceae
Rfam family: tRNA
About the family: Transfer RNA (tRNA) molecules are approximately 80 nucleotides in length.
Source: Rfam